Dipodomys ordii (Ord's kangaroo rat) is the source of this 65-nucleotide non-coding RNA. Lineage: Eukaryota; Metazoa; Chordata; Mammalia; Rodentia; Heteromyidae. The record is from Rfam.
GGUGGCUCAGUGGUAGAGUACAUGCCUUGCAUGCAUGAGGCCCUGCGUUGGAUUCCUCAGCACCA